CCUACGGGUGGCAGCAGUGAGGAAUAUUGGUCAAUGGGCGGGAGCCUGAACCAGCCAAGCCGCGUGAGGGAAGAAGGUACAGCGUAUCGUAAACCUCUUUUGUCAGGGAACAAAGGCGGGGACUAGUCCCCGGAUGAGGGUACCUGAAGAAAAAGCAUCGGCUAACUCCGUGCCAGCAGCCGCGGUAAUACGGAGGAUGCGAGCGUUAUCCGGAUUUAUUGGGUUUAAAGGGUGCGCAGGCGGUCUGUUAAGUCAGCGGUCAAAGCCCGGGGCUCAACCCCGGCCCGCCGUUGAAACUGGCAGUCUCGAGUUGGAGAGAAGUAUGCGGAAUGCGCGGUGUAGCGGUGAAAUGCAUAGAUAUCGCGCAGAACUCCGAUUGCGAAGGCAGCAUGCCGGCUCCACACUGACGCUGAGGCACGAAAGCGUGGGUAUCGAACAGGAUUAGAUACCCGAGUAGUC
RNAcentral lists this ribosomal RNA (459 nucleotides) under uncultured bacterium. RNAcentral's name for it is "partial 16S ribosomal RNA". It matches the Rfam family "Bacterial small subunit ribosomal RNA", at positions 338 to 795 of the family's 1533-position model. The record is from RNAcentral.